This 1274-nucleotide long non-coding RNA is filed under the name Dasypus novemcinctus (nine-banded armadillo). Its description in RNAcentral is "lncRNA (ENSDNOG00000051816.1)". The record is from RNAcentral. Lineage: Eukaryota; Metazoa; Chordata; Mammalia; Cingulata; Dasypodidae.
AAUAUCUGGAAUCAGAACUUUAAAUUGUAACUUUCUAAAUUUUUUUUCCUCUGUCCUCAGGAAGUUGAUGACCACGUGGCAUUUUUAAUAACGGUUCCAACCGCCCUGGCCAUUUUCUUUGCGAUAUUCAUCCUUGUCUGCAUCGAGUCUGUGUUUAAGAAGCUGCUUCGCCUUUUCUCUUUGGUGAUAUGGAUAUGUCUCGUGGCCAUGGGAUAUUUGUUCAUGUGUUUUGGAGGGACCGUCUCCCCCUGGGACCAGAAGCCUCCAGGGACCAGGGAAGCCCACCUUCCUUGGUUCCCAUCCUUCUCCAACCCAAGGCCUUUGUGCCCUCCCUGUUGCUUCUCCCACCAUUUUCUUCACAUGCGCUGCACUCCAACCUGACACGGCUGCUUACCACGGACUCUGGUUAUUGCCUUCUGCCUUCAUGCCGGUGCACACCAGACCUACUGGGUCUGGACUUACUGCCAUGAGGGGUGUGUCCUAGUUGUCCCUUUCCUUACACCAACACAGCAUUGCUUUAGUAAUGUAGCUCUAUAAGAAGCCUUGCUAUCUGGAAGGGCAAGUACCCCCUACUUUUUCUGUUGCCCAGAAUUUUCUUAGUAGGCUUUUCUGUGUGAAUUAAAAAAUCAGUUUGUCAUGUUCAGUGAAAAUUCUAGUUGGAAUCUGUAUUGGAAUUAUAUAGAAUUAUAUAGACUUUCUGAACUUUUGCUUUGAAAAAUACUAAAAAUCUAGGACAUAAUAAAAGGAUGCUGUACUGGGUCGAAUCAUUUCCUCCCCCGUCCCUGUCCACUUGGAACCUCAGAAGGUGACUUGUGUGGACAUGGAGUUUUUGCAGAUGUGAUUAGUAAAGUUAAAAUGAGGUCAUGCUAGAUUACAGCAGGCCCUAAAUCCACUAUGACUGGUGUCCUGAUAUGAAGAGGAAAAUUUGGACACAGGCACAGAUGUGAGGACAGAUGCCCUGUGACAACAGGGGCAGCCACCGGGGUCCUGGUGCCACAAGUCAAGGAAUGCCUGAGGCCACCGGAAGCUGGAGGAGGUGAGAAAGCCUCGUGCUCUGGAGGUGGGGAUGAACGUGGCUCUUCCAACUCUUGGUGCUGGACUUCUGGCCUCCAGAAUAUGAAAGAAUGACUUUCUGCUGUUUGAAACCAUCUAGUGUGUCAUAAUUUGUUUGGACAGUCCUGGAAAAUUAAUACAGAUAUUAUUAAAAAUGUCCAGAGUUUUGACAUAUUUUUGUAUUGAGUCUUCCCAUCUAAUAAUAAAGUAUGUCCCUCCAC